GAGAGCCAGAAGGAAAGAGAGGAGGCCGGCCCGGGGACGGAUAGGAGGGUGGGCUCCCUAAGAGUACAUCUGGCCUUCCAGUUUUUCCACUUUGGUGACUUCUACAUCCAUUCUUCCUCAGCCAUGCAUAGAAGUCAUGUCAGCCAGGAGAGAAUGCAAAUUUUCUUUCCAAAAUGGAGAAACUGCAGAAAUAAUUUACCAAAAGGAGAAGGAAAAGUAAGAAAGCUGGAGACAGCAAUGGAUAGAAUAUUAGGCCUAUAAUUAGAAAGACCUGAUUUCAAAUCUAGCCUCAGACCCUGUAGUAGCUGUAUGACCCUGAGCAAGUCAGUUUCCUUAAUUGUAAAAUGGAAUUAUGCUUAUAAUUAUUAUGCUUUUCCUCAGGGAGGAAAAGGGAAGAAGAGAAUUGGUCAAAUUUUUAAAAAUACAAUUGUUAACCAUUGUUUUUACAUGUAAUUGAGGAAAAAUAAAAUGUUAUUUUUAUUGUAAAUUGUAAAAUUGUAAAAUGGGACCUAUUUCCCAGGGUUGUUGGGAAGAUCAACUGAAAUAAUGUUUAUAAAGUUCCUGGCCCAUAAUAA
RNAcentral lists this long non-coding RNA (575 nucleotides) under Sarcophilus harrisii (Tasmanian devil). Its description in RNAcentral is "lncRNA (ENSSHAG00000021742.1)". Lineage: Eukaryota; Metazoa; Chordata; Mammalia; Dasyuromorphia; Dasyuridae. The record is from RNAcentral.